RNAcentral lists this ribosomal RNA (835 nucleotides) under Paraphoma radicina. RNAcentral describes it as "eukaryotic LSU rRNA". It matches the Rfam family "Eukaryotic large subunit ribosomal RNA", at positions 71 to 925 of the family's 3401-position model. RNAcentral also lists the same sequence under 2 other names. The record is from RNAcentral. Lineage: Eukaryota; Fungi; Ascomycota; Dothideomycetes; Pleosporales; Phaeosphaeriaceae.
GGGAUUGCCCUAGUAACGGCGAGUGAAGCGGCAACAGCUCAAAUUUGAAAUCUGGCUCUUUCAGAGUCCGAGUUGUAAUUUGCAGAGGGCGCUUUGGUGUUGGCAGCGGUCCAAGUUCCUUGGAACAGGACGUCACAGAGGGUGAGAAUCCCGUACGUGGUCGCUAGCCUUCGCCGUGUAAAGCCCCUUCGACGAGUCGAGUUGUUUGGGAAUGCAGCUCUAAAUGGGAGGUAAAUUUCUUCUAAAGCUAAAUACUGGCCAGAGACCGAUAGCGCACAAGUAGAGUGAUCGAAAGAUGAAAAGCACUUUGGAAAGAGAGUCAAAUAGCACGUGAAAUUGUUGAAAGGGAAGCGCUUGCAGCCAGACUUGCCUGUAGUUGCUUAUCCGGACUUUUGUCCGGUGCACUCUUCUGCGGGCAGGCCAGCAUCAGUUUGGGCGGUUGGAUAAAGGUCUCUGUCAUGUACCUCUCUUCGGGGAGAACUUAUAGGGGAGACGACAUGCAACCAGCCUGGACUGAGGUCCGCGCAUCUGCUAGGAUGCUGGCGUAAUGGCUGUAAGCGGCCCGUCUUGAAACACGGACCAAGGAGUCUAACAUCUAUGCGAGUGUUUGGGUGUCAAGCCCAGACGCGUAAUGAAAGUGAACGGAGGUGGGAACCCUUUGGGUGCACCAUCGACCGAUCCUGAUGUCUUCGGAUGGAUUUGAGUAAGAGCAUGGCUGUUGGGACCCGAAAGAUGGUGAACUAUGCUUGAAUAGGGUGAAGCCAGAGGAAACUCUGGUGGAGGCUCGCAGCGGUUCUGACGUGCAAAUCGAUCGUCAAAUUUGGGCAUAGGGGCG